This 28-nucleotide non-coding RNA is filed under the name Bombyx mori (domestic silkworm). The record is from RNAcentral. Lineage: Eukaryota; Metazoa; Arthropoda; Insecta; Lepidoptera; Bombycidae.
UACCUGUCUUGCUCUUGACGAAGGGUCC